GCCGACGAGCUUCGGAAGCGGAACGGAUUCCAAACCCGUUUCCCGAGGGUUCGACUCCUUCCGUCGGUGCC
This 71-nucleotide transfer RNA is filed under the name Lentzea flava. RNAcentral describes it as "tRNA-Trp". It matches the Rfam family "tRNA". From Rfam's summary of the family: Transfer RNA (tRNA) molecules are approximately 80 nucleotides in length. Their secondary structure includes four short double-helical elements and three loops (D, anti-codon, and T loops). Further hydrogen bonds mediate the characteristic L-shaped molecular structure. tRNAs have two regions of fundamental functional importance: the anti-codon, which is responsible for specific mRNA codon recognition, and the 3' end, to which the tRNAs corresponding amino acid is attached (by aminoacyl-tRNA synthetases). tRNAs cope with the degeneracy of the genetic code in two manners: having more than one tRNA (with a specific anti-codon) for a particular amino acid; and 'wobble' base-pairing, i.e. permitting non-standard base-pairing at the 3rd anti-codon position. The record is from RNAcentral. Lineage: Bacteria; Bacillati; Actinomycetota; Actinomycetes; Pseudonocardiales; Pseudonocardiaceae. RNAcentral also lists the same sequence under 1 other name.